UUGUAGCCAAAAUGGCUCGAGAUGUAUUAGCCAUUCCUGUAUCUACAGUUGCUUCAGAAUCUGCAUUCAGUAUAGCAGGAAAAAUUCUUAAUGAUUAUCGAUGCUCAACUACUCCUGAAAAUGUGGAAUCAUUAAUCUGCACACAGAGUUGGAUUCGUGAUGCACACAACUUGGGUGAAAGUUCUCAUGAUGCAGAGCACCAUUCGGACGAGGAAAGUUAAUCCAAUGCAUGAUUAUCAUGAUGGACAUUUCAAGGUUGGUGACGGACUUUAAAGACAUUUAGUUUCAAUAUGCC
Molecule: long non-coding RNA, 295 nt
Organism: Nymphaea colorata (pocket water lily)
Lineage: Eukaryota; Viridiplantae; Streptophyta; Magnoliopsida; Nymphaeales; Nymphaeaceae
Exons: 3
Source: RefSeq, a predicted model, not a curated record